Molecule: ribosomal RNA, 248 nt
Filed under: uncultured bacterium
Lineage: Bacteria
Description: partial 16S ribosomal RNA
Rfam family: Bacterial small subunit ribosomal RNA
Source: RNAcentral
CGUAUGGCGACCGGCGCACGGGUGAGUAACACGUAUCCAACCCGCCGAUGACUCGGGGAUAGCCUUUCGAAAGAAAGAUUAAUACCCGAUGGCAUAGUUCUUCCGCAUGGUAGAACUAUUAAAGAAUUUCGGUCAUCGAUGGGGAUGCGUUCCAUUAGGUUGUUGGCGGGGUAACGGCCCACCAAGCCUUCGAUGGAUAGGGGUUCUGAGAGGAAGGUCCCCCACAUUGGAACUGAGACACGGUCCAA